Molecule: ribosomal RNA, 301 nt
Filed under: uncultured bacterium
Lineage: Bacteria
Description: partial 16S ribosomal RNA
Rfam family: Bacterial small subunit ribosomal RNA
Source: RNAcentral
CAGUAGCCGCGGUAAUACGUAGGGUGCGAGCGUUAAUCGGAAUUACUGGGCGUAAAGCGUGCGCAGGCGGUUGUGUAAGACAGGUGUGAAAUCCCCGGGCUUAACCUGGGAACUGCGCUUGUGACUGCACAGCUAGAGUAUGGCAGAGGGGGGUGGAAUUCCACGUGUAGCAGUGAAAUGCGUAGAGAUGGGGAGGAACACCGAUGGCGAAGGCAGCCCCCUGGGCCAAUACUGACGCUCAUGCACGAAAGCGUGGGGAGCAAACAGGAUUAGAUACCCGUGUAGUCCCUGUCCCUUAUAA